UUAGGUUGCCAUUUGUAACAGAUUCAGGAGGAAUACCGGAUGUGAUUUUUUUUUCGCCCCUCCUGCACACAAAAUGGCCAUGACACGUCGCAGGCAGCAUCGGUCUUUAUUUUUUCUUUAUUUAUAGUACCUGAUCUAACACGGCACGUGCAACAUCUGUAGCCACACAUACACAGCGCAAAGAAAGCAUGCAAGAUGUUAAUCCAGAUGUUAUACCAGAUAUACCGAGCUAUUAAUGACUGCUAUGCGGAAGAAAAAAAUCAUCUAUAAGAAGCUUGGCAUGAUGCCCUCUGCUGCUUUACCUGGAAUCCGGUUCCAGAUGGAUCAUCGAUUUCGGAUCCGCUUUGUUGUUUUUUCCAUAUAAACCGGAAGUGACGUCACAAGAGGCGCUGUGGUCUGUCCUGUUAUGAUGUCAGUAGUUUUCAUGAUGGUCCACACCUUCCUUGGGUUUUAGUUUAACCCUGGACAUGUCUCUUUUCAAACUGCAUGAAACAGUGUAUAUUGUUUUCAUCAAUCUGGGCAAAAUUAAUUAUUUAUAUAAAAAAAAAAAUAAAUAAAAAAAAGGAAAGAAAGAAAAAAAACAGAUAAGAUGAACUUGCCACAUGGUGUCAGCAUCAUCCCAGGAACCCAGGAACCUCCUUCUCCUGCUUUGGAAUUGAGUCCUUAGUCAGCAAGAUGUUAUUCAUUGCUCUAUGAUCAUGUAUAUUUUUGUCAUCUACAUUCACAUACUCGUGUGCUUUUCUUGGCGGAGGAAACUAGUAAACCCAGAGGAAACGAG
This is a long non-coding RNA of Silurus meridionalis, 778 nucleotides long. RefSeq lists it as uncharacterized. Lineage: Eukaryota; Metazoa; Chordata; Actinopteri; Siluriformes; Siluridae. The transcript is spliced from 3 exons. The record is from RefSeq and is a predicted model, not a curated record.